Long non-coding RNA from Gasterosteus aculeatus aculeatus (three-spined stickleback), 5977 nucleotides. Lineage: Eukaryota; Metazoa; Chordata; Actinopteri; Perciformes; Gasterosteidae. The record is from Ensembl.
UUUAAGAACCCACUAGCUUAGCUUAGCUUAGCUUGACAUCAGUUUAGCGUUAACUGCGGCUAGCUAAACUGGCCCCAUUAGAGAAGCCAACCAGCUGCGUCACACUCUGUCAUUAACGAGGACACUGUUGCUCCAGAAACGCCUCUCGGCCUCGACGCGAUCAACAGGUGCAGCAAGUCCCAGAUGCUUAAGACGGCACAACCGCUACCAAUUCCCCGGGCCUUGAUGUGAACUCCGGUCCUGCUUCCAGGACGGAAUCAUUUUCUAUGAUUGGAGACACUCGAAUGAAAGAAUAUUGUGUUUCUGUCUUUGGCCUGUCUGACAGGGAGAAUUUUACAGAGCACUCCGUGAUCGAUAUUUGCCGAUCCGUCUGCCCGUAUCAACCUCAAAUAAAAGCAGAGAGCAGGAGACAAGGCAGCACAAGCAGGUCGUCGGGAGGUCUGCUGCACCACCCUCCCCCGUUUGAAGUCUGCGAAAGCACUCAUCAGUGUGUAGAACCGGCCUCGACUUGGCACGCCGGGUCACCGCCGCCUCACCCUGAGCAGCGCACGGUUGAUUGUCUCGCUGUCGGGGCGUGCAGGGUUGUUGUUUUCAGAGGUGAGAGGACAGGUCUUUUCCGGCAAGCUGGGCUAGGGUUUUUUAAUAGGGCCCCUCGCCGGCCUGCCCAGGCCGACACACCGAUCAUGAUGAUCGGGGGGGGGAACCCGUCGGAGACUCACUCCUCCUCCUCUUGCCAGACCUCAGCUCAUGUUACUGUAUUUUUAUUCAUCGCGUGUGCGUUCCAUUCUUGAUGGACUGACUGGGGGGAAGAUGGGGGUGGGGGGUGGGGGGGGUGCAGGCUAAACAACCCUGUGUGCCUCAAUGAGCCGUGGUUAAAUGGUACACGCCUUGGAAAACACAGGGAGAACUGACUCGGGAGCCUGGCGGCAUUUAGGGCAAGGAGCUGCUUACGUUAGCUGACACGCUGAUAUAAUUAGGUUGUAAUAAAUAAGAGAGGAGAGCUGGGGGGGUGGUGUCUCAACAGUGGCCAUUAGAGAACCACAUAGGUUGCAUUUCAAUAAAGAAGAAAAAAAGUCACCUGUCUACUGGGAAAUAGACACUUUCUCCGACGCACAUUUAGUCAGUGUCCUACUUGCAGAGUCCUUCUGCGUGUAGUUCUAAGCCCCAGAUGCCCGUCCCUUUAAGCGAGCUAACUGAGGGGGGUUGUAGGCUGAAACCAAACUGUAAUUAGUGCACUUUGAGAGCAGGUACGAAGGCGAGCCUCAUCACCGCCGCUUUCCCUGAGACUUAAGCCUCGUUGAGACGAGGCUGUAACCUCCUACAAUGAAGCGGUAAUUAGCUUUAUUAGCUUUCGAUUCCCUUUUACUUUUGGCAAAGUGGGUGAGGCUUAGCUUUGGCCUCCGUCGAGAUGAAUCGCAGAAAUCGGUUAAUCUCGUCUGUCUGUGUUUUAUCUCCACCGAUGUUGCUGUAUUUCACGCCGGCUACCUGCUGUUCGUCUUGGCGACAUGCAUGUGCACGAGCGGGUAGUAAUGAGAGGCAUCGGGUUUUAAUAAGCAGAGCUUUACCCACAGAUCCUUCUGUGAUUUGCAUCCGUGUCGGACACGAGGCGUAAAGCGGCGUGAUUGAUUCAUGGUUCGUCCCAUAUUAGAGCGAGACGGGGAGGAGAGAGACGGAAGGAAGGCCGCAGAUUUACUAUGAAGCUCAGCGACAAAGGGAGGAAGAGAGCGUGCAUAUGUUAAUCCGCUGGCUGAACGAUGAUCAAAGACUGGAACAAGCUCAGCCCUGCUGAUCGCCUCGGGGCAAACGAUGCUCUCCAAGCAGCUGGGAUAGUGUGCAGACGAGGAGUAAACAGAUAGUUGGAAAAAUCCAUAGGCGAGGGUUCGGUGCCGGAUGCUUGGUCCGGGGUUAGUGCCGCGUGGAGGGAAGUCUGGAAACCAGCGGCGCUUUUAGGCCAAUUUAAGAGAAGCGAUGUGUUUUACAGCAGCGUUGUGUCCAGGAGUGAAGGAAGUUCAAAAUGAGGUUACGGCUGCUCUGGUCAGUAUGAGGGGAAAAAAACAGUCCUGGCUCAGACUUGAAUAUCUAAAGACUUAAAUUAUGGGCAUGCGGCCGGGGCGUGUGCUUGGAUCGAGGACCCCACAUCCGCUCAUUUGGGUUUUUAAGGAAGAAGGAUUUUCUUUUUAAGUGUCCAAACCCCCAGUGUGGGGCUCGUUUUUUUGUUUUCCGUUGCGCCCCCCCCCCCCCCCCCAUUCAUCUUUAGACUGACCCAAACUAUUCCCACAAGGCCUCUGCUUCAGGUACCCGCGCUCGCUGGCUGCUUUGGGAAUUUGUGCCAUCUCUGUGAACUCCCCUCAAGCCUCAAUUUGGGUUUGAAUUUUGCAAUUGUUCCCUCGUCAAAAACAUUCUCCUAUACGUCCUUUAUGUAAAUGAUUGUAGAAAGUCGAGAACUGUCUCUUUCAUCAAAGCAUUCACCUUCUGCUUCUUAAUCUACAAUAGCUGUUGGAAAAUAAAGAAUUAUCCGUCACUGCUCCAUUCAUUAUGAAUUCAUAUCUUUGUUUGUCGCUAGCUGAAUAAUUACGAUGACUUAGCUUUUUACCCCUAAGCUUUUGCCGUCUUUUGACUUCCUCCACUUCUGAGGCGGAUUGUUUUUGUGAUUAGUCACUUUGUUUAAUCUGGUAAUGAUGGCGUCCCCUCAGGCUAAAUGCCUGAUUUCUGCGCACCAGUUUAUUUAUUCAUUUGUACUUUUGACGUGUUAAUCUGCAUAAACGGCGCCGAGCUCCACCAGGACCCCAGAACGUCUCCCUGCACCUGUCAAUUACCACAAAUCUGAGACACCUGGAAGCAGCCACCCUGGUCUCGGCGCUGCGAUCGGGUUAGAAGUCUGCCUGUCAAUCAGCCCUGUCCUGUCGCGGACGUAUUGCUAUUCAGCCCUUCAUCUCCAGCUCAACACUGUAGCAGUGAUUGAUCACAGCUGCUGCUAAUUAGGAUUGAUUGUGCAGUGGCACAGAAACGCACAAUACAGUACUACACAAUGCAAUUAUCUUUUUUUUACUCUUAGGCCUCACUGUUUGGGCCUCAGACCACUUGACAAUGGUUCAGUAUAUUUUAGAUAUGUUUAUCAUUAAUUGCAUUUGUUUGAAUAUUAGAAGAGAAAAAAUCAUGCUUUAUUUCUCAACAAGCCAGCACGGAUUAGAUUAAAGAUGUACUUCAUUUUGUGUCACACAAAGACUACUUUGUUAACAACCGUUUUAAAGACAAUUAAGACUUAAUUUGUAAGGCAAGCGGAUGAUUUUGGAAGACUUGGAAUGUACUGAGGCUGCACGAGUGUGUCAUUUUAAUGGCAGUGAUUUAGGGCCAAUGUAUUUAUAAUGUUGCCACUAUAGCAGACUGGCAUAUGCCACUUAAAUUAGGAAGCAGUUGUGAAUGGGUAACAGAUUAUAGGAAAAUAUUGUCAUACCAGUAGAGCAAACUCAAAAAGUUAAGGAGAUCUGAAAGUUAUUUCUUAAUUAAUACAUUAUUUGAUCAAAAUUAAAUUAAGGUAGGAGAUAGAGCCUUUGUUUUGGGGUCAGUGAGUCGAUCCUCGGCUCCUCCUGUCCACAUGCACAAUCCAAUCGGCUCCUGACACUGUCAGUGUGUGUGUGCGUGUGUGUGUGUGUGUGUGUCUCUGUGUGUGUGCAUGUGUGUGCGCGCGCGCUAGAAACAUGCCAUGUAGUCCAUUCACUAAAUGUGUGUGGCCCAUACAGGAUGAUUCGUCUAGAACCAAAUGAAAUCCGUCCCAAACUUUAAACCACGUGUAAAUAUCUGCAGAGUAGCUUUUGAGGUUCUGUCAGACGAGCAGACCCAGAGGACUGCAAAGAGAACUGUGUUGAUGGUAAUUUGCGACGUUUCACAAGGUUUGAUCAGAGACUUGAAAUGGACAGAGCAGCCUCCCCGGGGAGUUUACAACAGGCCGAAUGUCGAAAAGGAUGCCGCUGACCUCUCUAGCCAUUAGCAAUUGCUGCGGUUUGUUGGACAGCUGGAAGCCUGUAAUUUACGGCAGCGUGGCCCGGUGAGCCCUGCAGCGGGCCUCUGCUUAGCCCAUGCAAAUGUUCCCAAAUGAAACAAAUGGGAAAUAUCAACAAGCUCUGAGUAAUAAAAAAUGCAUGUGGGCUGCGCUGCCGGACUUGCUUCCCGCAGACGCAGGGAAGUUACCGCUCAUUAACCGGGCCGUGAUAAAGUGCACGAGCGCCGCCGUCGAGCAAAAGCAAUGCAUUCCGCUGCGUCCAAUAACGGCUGCCGCCGACCACGCGCCUGCUUGUGGAAUCUAUUUGCAGCAGUUUGCUAUGGAGGAGAAACAUUGUUACUGGCUGCAGCGAUUAAUUUCUCCCUCUCUGAGCUUCGACGUGUGUCUCCUUGGCUAAAAAUCCAUGCAUAUGAAGUGUAGAUGUUUUAUUCAUUGUAAUUUAUACACAAGUGUGGUUGUACACGAAUGUGAAGACUUUCCCGCUAACAACCCCCCACAGUACAUUUAAAAAGUGGAGUCUGCUGUCUUCAUUGCUGUGCCGGGGGACUGCGAUGUCAGCUUUCAACAGCAACCGUGAUUCAAGUCCUCGGUCCUUCUACCUGCCUCCCGAAUGUCAGGAGUCGCGACGGGUUCUCGUUCAUUCUGCCAUGCAAACCAGCUGUUUGGCUGGAAGACGUCUGAAUAUUAAAGAGGGCGACGCGACGGCUGUCGCUAAGAGCACAGCGGGGCAUUCGGAGCCCACAAACAUAAAAACACGAGACGGGAUUAUGAGGAGUGGGCGAGGCUGGUUUUAUGGCUGCUGGGGGACUUGUAGUCCGCUGCGGUUUGUGGAUUGUUUGGAAAAAGUAGAUGUGGUCAGCUGACAGACGGGGCCGAUGUUUCUGCAUGUUUUAUCAGUUAUUAUUGCUUAUUCAAACCGACAUUUCUUUCUUCUCACCUUCCAUGUGCUGUUUGAUAAAUCUAUUUUAUCCACCUCAAAUUUGCUACACAGAUACAAAUACAUAAUCGUGCAAGUUGCCAACUAACUAAAGGCCAAACUUCCUAAGUUACUCUAUUCAAAAGUCUUCGUAAGCAAAUUAGGAACAUCAAAACAUCUUUCAGCGCUCUACAUGUUGACUUUAUCCCAUCAUGUUUCCAUUCAGAGCUGAAUUACCUUCUCUUGGUUGGUCCACCUCUUUGGUCCAAAGUUAUAUUAAUGUCCAGUUUGUUUACUUAAAGAAUAAAGAAAAAUAAUUUUCUGUUCAUUGUUGUAAAAUCACGACUAACGUUUGUAAUGUAAAAUAUAAAACAUAAAAAAAAAAAAAAAUUCUUAUGAUUAUGAUCUUCUCAACCUCUCCUAAGACUAAAAAAUGCUGUCAAAAGACGAACCCUUUUUGACGACUGAUAACAUUUGUGUGAACUUUGACAUGUGCAUGUUGCCCAUGCAGAUGAAAGGAUCAUCAGCUAUUCGGGGGGAGAAAAAAAAACUUCACUUCUCAACUAGGGUUAAUGCUUUUGGCAGUGCACUGACGUCAACAGCUGUUCUCAAACAAGCUCUUUGAUGACUCAUUGACAGCGAAAGCUCCCAAUUGCCACUUCCACUAACUGGGGAAAUGUCAGCGGAUGCGCUCAGCAGAGGCUGAUGAUCCCAGUCCCUCUGCUGCUGCCGCCUGCCAGAACGCAGCACUGAUGAAAUAGCUGUGGUGUUAAUGGAUGUGAGAGCGAUCUUGACCUCCUCCAAAGAGCCGACUCUCUGUCUCCAUUAAAAGAAAAGCGGCCUUUGCUUUGGUCUGGAUCAGAGCCGGGGCUCUCUCGGUGCCACGGGGAGCAGCCAGACAAAGUUAAUUGUGCGCCUCCUCUGCACCUCCACCUCUGCGUCAGCACUCGGGGGAGCAACUGUGGAGGACACUGAUUUUGAAAAAGACAGACAAGUAAUAAUAAGGUUAUUAGUGCGGAGGUGACUAAUUACCUAAUUGUACUGUUGCAAGAAAGGGGGGA